RNAcentral lists this ribosomal RNA (490 nucleotides) under uncultured bacterium. RNAcentral describes it as "partial 16S ribosomal RNA". It matches the Rfam family "Bacterial small subunit ribosomal RNA", at positions 30 to 507 of the family's 1533-position model. The record is from RNAcentral.
AUUGAACGCUGGCGGCAGGCCUAACACAUGCAAGUCGAACGGUAACAGGAAGAAGCUUGCUUCUUUGCUGUCGAGUGGCGGACGGGUGAGUAAUGUCUGGGAAACUGCCUGAUGGAGGGGGAUAACUACUGGAAACGGUAGCUAAUACCGCAUAACGUCGCAAGACCAAAGAGGGGGACCUUCGGGCCUCUUGCCAUCGGAUGUGCCCAGAUGGGAUUAGCUAGUAGGUGGGGUAACGGCUCACCUAGGCGACGAUCCCUAGCUGGUCUGAGAGGAUGACCAGCCACACUGGAACUGAGACACGGUCCAGACUCCUACGGGAGGCAGCAGUGGGGAAUAUUGCACAAUGGGCGCAAGCCUGAUGCAGCCAUGCCGCGUGUAUGAAGAAGGCCUUCGGGUUGUAAAGUACUUUCAGCGGGGAGGAAGGGAGUAAAGUUAAUACCUUUGCUCAUUGACGUUACCCGCAGAAGAAGCACCGGCUAACUCCGUG